Mercenaria mercenaria is the source of this 1544-nucleotide RNA transcript. RefSeq lists it as uncharacterized. The transcript is spliced from 15 exons. NCBI's taxonomy places the organism in Eukaryota, Metazoa, Mollusca, Bivalvia, Venerida, Veneridae. The record is from RefSeq and is a predicted model, not a curated record.
AACAGGAUUUGCAGAACUCAUGAGUUAGCCAUGUCGGCUCAAGGUCAAAGUCACAACUCGAGAUCAAAGGUGUUCAUGGUCACAUCCAGUCCAAUAGAGAUGGAAAAGUUACUCCUACUUCUCCUCCUUGCUGUUAGUCACAUCAGCCUAGUAUCCUGUGCCUGUGAUGCAGUUACUGAUGCAGCAACCUACACAAGUGAAAGAGCAGCAAAUGCUGUAGAGAUGAAGUUUUACAGAGCCCAAACAACAGAGUGGAUUAGUGACAGUGUUACAAACAAGGUGGCAGCACAAGUCAUCAGUAAAGCUAACUCUUACUGUGCAAGCAACACGGGCACUUGUGGACUACAGUCCUGCUGUACUUCUGCGUUUAAGGAGACUAUGGUUGUGGUUUCUAGUGGCUAUCCACAAGAUGACCUGAAAGAUUUGCUUCUGAAAAUUUCCCUGGAUUUUCCCUCAGAUCUGAACUCAACUGGAACCCCUCAGUGUGUGAUGGGAAAGUCCGCAUUACAAACAAUUAUCCGUGAAGCAAGGGAGGCAAUUCAUGAUGAUACUGGAUUUUGGAUCACUUAUAUUGAUGAUGAAUUCACUAGUCUUCCCCCACCUACAGAGUUGAACAAGAUCAUUAUCCCGAUAGCCUGUGCUGUGAUUCUCGGACUGGCAAUCCUUACAAUCAUUUUGAAUGUUUGGAACAAAAAGAAAGAAGAGUCACUGAGACGUAAAAAGAUCAUUGAGCAGAGAAAGAAGUCUAAGAAGGACCCGCCCAUGUACAAUGUUGACACCCGGGAUCCUAAAGCUCCCAGCGGCCUCACCGGAAAAAUCGAUAAGAAACAGAAACCAAAAAGUUUGAUGAUGAGUUAUAAUAAUGUAAGUGACAGUGAACGAGAGACCUCUGCAGCUAGCCGGAAGGACCAGUUGUACAGAGAUAAUCUCAAAAAGAGUACGAAGUCAGCUAAGAAGACAGCCAGCAUUGCCAGUGAGGACUCGGCGAUCAAAGUUGACACGACAGAUUCUCGUCAACGACAGGCUUUCUCCUACGAGAAGGAGUUGGAUGGUGCUAGUGGUUAUGAUCGAAAUGACAGGAAAGGUUAUGGUGGAUUUUCAGAGCCAGAAGCUCCACCUUCUAGUCACCUAAAGCCGAUUGACUCUGGGGCAGAUGAUGAGUCAAGGUCACCUGAAAAGAAGAAAAAGAAGAAGAAGAAGAGAUUAAGUGCUGAGCAAAAAGAAAAACUGAAAGAGAAAAUGAAGAUAGCCGCAUGGUUGAAGAAUCUAAAUCAAAAGAAGUAAUGGAUGGCAUACCAAAUGAUGGAUAUACAAACACAGAUUUGUUAGCACAAUACAAAACAGGAACUGGGCUAAACAAUCAUCAUUAUAUGGACAACAAAACUUAUGAUAACAAUGCUUAUGAGUGAUGAAAGAGCAGUGUGGAUAUGACAGUAUUUCAUGGUUACAUUCCAAAGACAACAGAUCUCCUAAUAUAUGCUACGAUAUUGAAUGAAAAUUUAAUGAUCAAAUAUAAGUUGAUAAUACUCUUGGUAAAAAUCGGG